RNAcentral lists this ribosomal RNA (208 nucleotides) under uncultured bacterium. RNAcentral's name for it is "partial 16S ribosomal RNA". It matches the Rfam family "Bacterial small subunit ribosomal RNA", at positions 568 to 774 of the family's 1533-position model. The record is from RNAcentral.
AGCGUAGGCGGAUUUUUAAGUGAGAUGUGAAAUACUCGGGCUUAACCUGAGUGCUGCAUUUCAAACUGAAAGUCUAGAGUGCAGGAGAGGAGAAGGGAAUUCCUAGUGUAGCGGUGAAAUGCGUAGAGAUUAGGAAGAACACCAGUGGCGAAGGCGCUUCUCUGGACUGUAACUGACGCUGAGGCUCGAAAGCGUGGGGAGGCAAACA